Long non-coding RNA from Olea europaea var. sylvestris, 2608 nucleotides. RefSeq lists it as uncharacterized. The record is from RefSeq and is a predicted model, not a curated record. The transcript has 4 exons. Lineage: Eukaryota; Viridiplantae; Streptophyta; Magnoliopsida; Lamiales; Oleaceae.
ACUCAUUUGUCCCUCUCUCCAUUCCUCUAUGCAAUCGACCACUCCUUCUCUCCCACUAAAUCAAAGAAGCCCGAAAUUAAUCCAAGUGGAGGGGAAUGAAGUAAUUUUUACUGUACAGAAAUAAGCCUCUCAGUGCCAAUAUCUCCAUCAUCUACGUCGUCAUCUUCGCCUCCACCUCUACUGUCGUCCUCCUCCUCCGUACCCUUUGGUACCAUCACGGCUAGCUCCCUGUUGUCAUAAGCCGCGGAUAGCCAGCUCUGGCCGCGUACACUUAUUGGAGUCGAAAUCGCCAUAGAUCGAGCUCCAACUUACUUCUUGACAAGUCAACGACACCAUUUUCUCGGUUUAAAUUCUUAGUCACUCCACGGUAGAUCUCAGUUGCAUCGAUAGUGAAGCCUUUGUAUUAUCUUCAUUGAUUUGAAAUAAUUUGCAGGAAGUGAAACAUAUAUCUGAAAGUAUAAUUAUCAUGCUUCAAUUUCUUCUUUUUGUAUAGAUUUUCCCCCUUUUUGGAGCUGUAGUGCAAGAACUGAACACAAUUGGUAGUGGGUUAUUGUUUGGUUUAGAGAGGAUGGAGUGGCUACCGUCUAUGACUGUGUUCGAUCCAUCAAGAUGCAAGCAGUGAUUUUGUAGGUGUUCUAGUGAUGAAAAGGAUUGCCAACCCUACUUCUUCAAAUACUUUGGAGAUAAUUUUCAUUUAGGGGCAAAGAUUAGGCAAUUGGCAUUUUCAAGGGCUCUAGGGAUUACCUUUGGCGUCUUUUCCAUUUGUGGUCCCGAGGUGAUGGUGGAGCCAGAGGAAGUUGAAGAAGGGCAAUAUCCUCAUCGAAACUCAGACUAGUACCACAGAAGGCUUUGCUAGGAUAAAAACUUCAUUAUGAUAGUUUUAGAAAUUCUCUCUUUUUUUCCCUUUACAUGUAUUUUUUUUUUCUUUGCAUAGGAAAUUGAUCUGGAAAGUAAAGCUAGAUAUGACAAGGCUAUAUUUAAAGUAAUUGAUUUUGAUGAUUAUGUAGGAGAUGAUGAUGAGUACAAGGAAAAGUUAAAGAAAGAAAGUUUAGCAUUCUUCUUCUUAGCCACAUAGUUUUCGUGUAGCAUUGUUCUUAGUUGCAUAAAAAUACUUCUUAUAUUUAUGGGUGAAACAAAUUAUGUGUACAUAAUCUGUGAAAUCAGAUAAUCAAUGAAUUGUUUGUAUCCAUUUUCUCAUUGAUUUCCAUUGAUUUGGUUGGUGGUUUCAGAUACGGAGAUGGCAAGCCUACCAACAAUGCAGCAAGGUUCUACAAGUGGUUUGCAUAGGUAAAGUAUAAUUAUUGAGAGUUACAUUCUCCAUAGGACUCUGCAUUAGAUUUAGGUUAAUUUUUAUAUGCGAUGCAGGGAGAAGAGAGAGGUGACUGGAUUAAGAAUCUUUAUUAUGAAGUAUUUGGCCUUGGAAACAUGAAAUAUGAGUAUUUUAACAAGGUCUAAGAUUGAUAGUUAGAAGAUAUAAAUAAAGUUCAGUUCUACAUUAGCUCAGAUCUCUAUAUCUCAAAUUUUAUUGUUCAAUAAAUCUUAUUGGUAAUAAUUAGUUGAUUUUUUUCUUUUGUUCUUGUUGUUCGAGGUUUUAAGAGAUCAUUCCCAAAAUACUACAAUAUUCGACAUCCUUUGGAGUUUGUUGAGUUCAAGUCUGUUGCUUUCAUAAUCUUCUUUUGUAUUUUUCCCCAUUUUGUUCCCUUUUUCGAAUGAUUUAGGGGUUUGUAUGUUUGUAGAUUAAAUUUUGAAUUUCAUCAUUUUCAAACAAAAAAUGUGGAAAAAGUGACUUUCGUGUCAAUUUCGGCCAAAUAUUCGAACUUGAUUAGAUAGUUAAAUUAUAAAUGUAACUUGACUAACUUGCUCUACUCAUCGAGUAGAUCAUCAUAGUAUAUUUGGAAGCUCAAAACCAAUUCCAGAAUGAAUAAAAAAUAGCGGUCCAAAGUUGAAAGAAAAAAGAGGAAAACUGGCUUGGAAGAAUUGAUGACCCGAAGGAAGAAUCAAGAAAUUGAAUGAGCUAAGUAUCAAUUGGGAAUCAUAGUGAGAUGAUGGAACAAGAUGGACGAAGAGAGGAGGCCAAUAAACAAGAAAAUAGAGUUUGGGGACCAAAAUGGCAGAAAUUGGAAGACUUCUACCAUGCGGUCAGAUGGUAGAACCUUCUUACGGUUGCACAAGAUGGUCCAAGGUGUUCCAGAACCAAAACCAAGUGUACCAUGCGGUCGCAUAGGUUAACACCAUGUGGGCGCAUGGUAGGAAUUUUUGACGCGAUUCUUCAGUUUCCUGUUUUUGUUAAAACUCUUUUGCAACUCAAUUAGGACGUGAUAUAUAAACCUAAACUUGCCAAAUUUCAAGGGAGAAUGCAUGAGGGGUAACAAAACACAUCUCGGCAAAGAUUUUGUGCAAAAGUAACCAAGUAUUUCAUGAAGAUAAUCGAGAUUUCACAUGAAUUCAUAAUCUAGUGAUGUUUUAUCCUCAAGAAAUCAUAUAUUCUGUUAUUUUCUCAAUGUUAGGUUAAAUAUUUUUGUAUUAGGAGAUCGAUAAACCAUGUGAUGUAAUAUUUGGAUUUCUAGUUUAGUAAUUCGACAUUAAAACGCGUAUUUGAUUAUUUGAA